RNAcentral lists this long non-coding RNA (1153 nucleotides) under Saimiri boliviensis boliviensis (Bolivian squirrel monkey). Its description in RNAcentral is "lncRNA (ENSSBOG00000036627.1)". Lineage: Eukaryota; Metazoa; Chordata; Mammalia; Primates; Cebidae. The record is from RNAcentral.
UCCAACGCGGGGUGCCGAGGCCGCCUGGCCAUAGCCCCACCCCGCCUCUUUGCUCUCAGUCUGCCUGGUGUCAGGGACGCUGGGGCCGGAGCUGCUACCGCCCGCCGCUGUCUACACUGUCCUCUCGUUUGGCGUUUGGCGGGUUCGCCUCCCAGCAGCACCCGGGCGGGCGAGCGACUUCUGGGCCGAGACAGCUGGUGCUGAGCGGCCGCAGGUUGCCCUCCCGGAAUGCUGCCUCCACCCCUGGAGCUGACCUCCCCAGGACAGUGAGGAGCCACAUCUCCUGCUCUGGUGCUCCUAACAGCUGUGACGCCAGUUUGGUGGUGAGGAGGGGCUGGGGAGCAUGUGGCACAGGCCGCUGGGUUCUCAGGGGCUUCACAUCUAUCUCCACUGCCCACGUCCAUCACUCCUCACGUGCUCUGCAGCUGCCAUGUGGGAGGGGCAGUCACUGCGAAAUGGGGGAACAUGGGAGGAUCUGGUGACACAUAGUAGGUACUUGAUAAAUGUGUGUGGAGAAAAGGAGAAGAGGAGAAAAGGAGGGAGGGAGAGGGCUGCUGAGUAAGUUGAUGUCUUAGUGGAUUGCCACGUGGAGUGUUGGAAAUAGAUGCUCGGUGCUGGAAAGAUGGGUACACGGACAUGUUGGUGAGUGAGCUGUUGAAUGAGGGAAGGAAGGCUGGAUGAGGGAGCGAGUGUUUGGGAGGAGGAAUGUUCACCCCGUGGCUCUGAGUGUUACAGCUAAAGGAGGAGCUGAGAGCUCUCGAAUCCCUGCCCUACCCACUUGACAGCUGAGAAGACCGAGAGAGGGCUGGGCAGAAAGAAAAUUGCUGGUUCUGUGGCCCGGCAGCCUCUGGUUCUCCCCUAUCCCUCUUCCUCUGCCCCCAUCCCCUGCUUUCCCCUACUGGGAUUGGGGAAUGUUCCGGGAAGGAUGCCUUUUUUCCACCUCUUUGCUCCUUUAAACCCAGUUUCCGCCAGGCACUAGGCGUGGUGUUGGGGAUGGGAGGGAGCCGGUGGCCCCCACAGGGGCUCUUUUAGUCAGAGCCAGCCCUGCCAGGAAGCAGAGGAAGCUGCUCACCCUGUCAGAGGAGUUGCAGCGUGGCCGAGGCAGGAGAGUGGGAGUCUCAGCUCUGGCUUCCCUUUCCCCGACACACUUGGG